Non-coding RNA from Podarcis lilfordi (Lilford's wall lizard), 83 nucleotides. The record is from the annotation of a GenBank genome assembly. NCBI's taxonomy places the organism in Eukaryota, Metazoa, Chordata, Lepidosauria, Squamata, Lacertidae.
GCUAGGAUAGCUCAUUGCUAGAGCAUGAGACUCUUAAUCUCAGGUUUGUGAGUGCAAGCCCCACGAUGGGCAAGUUUCCUGCA